UACGGGGGGGGCAAGCGUUGUUCGGAAUUACUGGGCGUAAAGGGCUCGUAGGUGGCCAACUAAGUCAGACGUGAAAUCCCCAGGCUCAACUUGGGAACUGCGUCUGAUACUGGAUGGCUUGAAUUCGGGAGAGGGAUGCGGAAUUCCAGGUGUAGCGGUGAAAUGCGUAGAUAUCUGGAGGAACACCGGUGGCGAAGGCGGGUCUCUGGGCAUUUCCUGACGCUGAGGCGCGAAAGCGUGGGGAGCGAACAGG
RNAcentral lists this ribosomal RNA (253 nucleotides) under uncultured bacterium. Its description in RNAcentral is "partial 16S ribosomal RNA". It matches the Rfam family "Bacterial small subunit ribosomal RNA", at positions 524 to 776 of the family's 1533-position model. The record is from RNAcentral.